UGUCAAAAGUAGUGCCUUAAGUAGCCAAUAGGGUGUCCUUUUGGGAUCCAUGCCAUAUAUUUUACACAUGCUCAGUUGUCCUGAUGUGUUUUGUCAACAGCUGUUCAAGACAAAGGGGGAACCGAAGAGCCACCCUGAACAGGAUUCUCUGCCUACCAAACGUCUCAGAGAGACUCGUAUUUCACAGGAUGCUGAGUGUGAGGUUCCAUCCACUUCCCCACCCAAAGAGGACCUGACAACCACACUGGCCCCUGCUCCCCAGGAGUCCCAGUCCCGUAAACGCCCUCUCAUAGUCAGGGUGUUACGAGCUAUCUCCAGAGCCGUCUCCAAACCAUUCAGAGAAGCUUUUGGAAGAAGAAUUAGCCAAAUGCCAGAUUUUAUUACUAUUUUAAUCAGAGCCUUUAUUUAAUAAAACUUACUGCAUGGAUUUCUGUCUAUAGUCGUCUUACUGUUUGUGCAAGAUAAUGGUACCACAUUGUCAAACAUAGUUAUAGUGAAGCACUGUUUAUGAUUAUUGAUUGUGGAAAUCACAUUUUAAUACAGAAAAGAUGUCGUCACAUAAAGACAGACAUAUAGGAGAAAACUCCGUCGACUAUUCACAUGAUCAAGACACAACUAAAGCCAUGAAUGGAUCAUAUUAUUAUACCUUGAUUUCAACAAGGAACACAGACUGAGACCAAGGUGUCUUUUACAGCUGGGCCCUGCGUAGACAUGUUACACAUUCAGUUUAGCUACAAUGAUUAAGAAACUACACAAGACAAACAAGACCAUCACAGAUAACACACAAAUACAGCAGCAGAUUAUUACGUUUGCACACAGGUUAUUCCCCUAACAGCACAAUAACUUGCAUUACCCGAAAGUUACAAGCAAUACAGAAAUAAAAAUCCUCCAAUAAUUAUUUAAAAUGGGCAACAGGGGGACAAGAGUCUCAAAUUAAGUUUAGUCUGCAGGCUUUUCCAUUGGCAAGGAGCGUAACAGGAAAAGGCAGCCAUACCCAACUCUGUGGAAAUCGCAUGGACCUCAAGUGUAAUCCAUGCUUGAGACCUGGUUUUAGGAAUUCUAAUUCUAAUAUUGAUGAGUGAUGAUAAAUAAGAUGGUAGUUUAUUCAGAAGUGCUUCAUAGACAAACACGAGAACAUAUCUCGUC
This 1146-nucleotide long non-coding RNA is filed under the name Oncorhynchus mykiss (rainbow trout). Its description in RNAcentral is "lncRNA (ENSOMYG00000057539.1)". The record is from RNAcentral. Lineage: Eukaryota; Metazoa; Chordata; Actinopteri; Salmoniformes; Salmonidae.